Molecule: transfer RNA, 75 nt
Filed under: Bradyrhizobium rifense
Lineage: Bacteria; Pseudomonadati; Pseudomonadota; Alphaproteobacteria; Hyphomicrobiales; Nitrobacteraceae
Description: tRNA-OTHER
Rfam family: tRNA
About the family: Transfer RNA (tRNA) molecules are approximately 80 nucleotides in length. Their secondary structure includes four short double-helical elements and three loops (D, anti-codon, and T loops).
Source: RNAcentral
GCCGGUUUAGCUCAGUGGGAGAGCGCCGUUCCUUCUGGCGGAGGUCGGAGGUUCAAAUCCUCUCAACCGGCACCA